UCAUUAGCAGAUGGGAGAGAACAUGUAGGAUGGUAGACAGAGAUGAGAGAGGAGAUGUAGGGAGGUGCAGCACUGUGGAGAGCUUUGUGUGUGGGACUGAGGAUUUUGUACUGUAUUCUGGACUGAAUUGGUAACCAGUGUAGUGACUGGCACAGGGAGGAGGCAUCUGUGUAGCGGCUGGAGAGGAAGAUGAGUCUGGCUGCGGCAUUAAGGAUGGACUGGAGAGGAGAGAGUUUGGAGAAAGGAAGGCCUAUUAGUAAAGAGUUCAGUACUCAGUACAGUACUUAACGGUCUAUUUAUUAACCACCAGUGGUGCGGUUGUGAGAAGACGGAAUCCUGAGAAAGACUGCAAGAUCUACUAUAAUAACCUCCUCCAGAGUUCAGUGGUGCGGUUGUUAGAGACUGCAGGGUUUAUGUCAAAUUUGACAUUUUAGCUAAAAAUAAAUAACUGCUCUUGUGCAUGACAAUGCUGCAAAUAUGGUGGCUGCUGAUGGUCCAGUGUUGGCUGCCCUUACCACACUUUGCAGCUGGUUAUUAAUGCUGCUUUGAAGAAUACAGGUAUUGAAAGAGCUGUCAGUGCUGCUAGAGGACUAGUUGAACCCUUUUAAAAAAAAGUUAACUAGCCAGCAGCAAGUUGAAGCAGAAGCAGAUAGGUCCAUUUGAACAUAAGCUUCUUCAAGAUGUCAGCACCAUAUGGAACAGCACUUACUAUAUGGUUGACAGGCUCCUUGAACAAAGGUGGCCGGUUACUGCAACCCUGUCAGACCUACCAGCUACCCAAAAGGGCAAACAAUAUUGGGACCUAAAACCAGAACAAUGGAGUGUUCUUGAGGAGCUUUGGUGCUUAAGGCUUUUGAAUGUGCCACUGUGUUCAUGAGUGGGCAAGAAUAUCCAUCUCUAUGUUCAAUGCCUUCAUUUGUCAAGUUAUUGUGGUCCAGUGGGCGUGCUUCUUUUGAAUCUUCGGCCAUGAGGAGCUUCCAAGCCACUGCAACGAACAAGCUGCACAGCAGAUCGACUGAUAUUCUAUCAGAAGAACAGGUCAUAA
Long non-coding RNA from Hyla sarda, 1045 nucleotides. RefSeq lists it as uncharacterized. The transcript is spliced from 3 exons. The record is from RefSeq and is a predicted model, not a curated record. Lineage: Eukaryota; Metazoa; Chordata; Amphibia; Anura; Hylidae.